This 1203-nucleotide ribosomal RNA is filed under the name Ctenophora environmental sample. Its description in RNAcentral is "partial Bacterial large subunit ribosomal RNA". It matches the Rfam family "Bacterial large subunit ribosomal RNA", at positions 774 to 1956 of the family's 2925-position model. The record is from RNAcentral. Lineage: Eukaryota; Metazoa; Ctenophora.
CCGAACCCACACCUGUUGAAAAAGGUCGGGAUGAGCUGUGGCUAGGGGUGAAAGGCCAAUCAAACUCGGAGAUAGCUGGUUCUCUGCGAAAUCUAUUUAGGUAGAGCGUCAUCCGAAUACCCUCGGGGGUAGAGCACUGGAUGGGCUAGGGGGUCCCAACGACUUACCAAACCUAACCAAACUCCGAAUACCGAGGAGUACUAGAUGGCAGACACACUGCGGGUGCUAAGGUCCGUAGUGGAGAGGGAAACAGCCCUGACCACCAGCUAAGGUCCCUAAGUUAUCACUAAGUGGGAAACGAUGUGGGAGUGCUUAGACAACCAGGAGGUUGGCUUAGAAGCAGCCACCCUUUAAAGAAAGCGUAAUAGCUCACUAGUCGAGUCGGCCUGCGCGGAAGAUAUAACGGGGCUAAACUGAUAACCGAAGCUGUGGAUGCGCAUUUAUGCGCAUGGUAGAGGAGCGUUCUGUAAGCCGUUGAAGGUGAAUCGUAAGGUUUGCUGGAGGUAUCAGAAGUGCGAAUGCUGACAUGAGUAACGAUAAGGGGGGUGAAAAACCCCCCCGCCGAAAGAUCAAGGUUUCCUGUCCAACGUUAAUCGGGACAGGGUGAGUCGGCACCUAAGGCGAGGGCGAAGGCCGUAGUCGAUGGAAAAUCGGUUAAAAUUCCGAUACCGAUUCUUACUGCGAUGGAGGGACGGAGCAGGCUAGGCUAGCACGGCGUUGGUAGUCCGUGUUUAAGCGUGUAGGUAGGGGGAUUAGGUAAAUCCGGUUCCCUGUUGAUCUGAGACGUGAUGACGAUCUCUUGGGGCGACCCUUGAGAGAAGUAGUUGAUGCCAUACUUCCAGGAAAAUCUUCUAAGCUUCAGGUAAGAAUUGACCGUACUGUAAACCGACACAGGUGAUCAGGUAGAGAAUACCAAGGCGCUUGAGAGAACUUGGGUGAAGGAACUAGGCAAAAUGGUACCGUAACUUCGGGAGAAGGUACGCCGGUUUUGGUGAUGGGACUUGCUCCCUAAGCUGAGGCUGGCCGAAGUGACCAGGUGGCUGCGACUGUUUAUUAAAAACAUAGCACUCUGCAAACACGUAAGUGGACGUAUAGGGUGUGACGCCUGCCCGGUGCCGGAAGGUUAAUUGAUGGGGUUAUCUUCGGAGAAGCUCUUGAUCGAAGCCCCGGUAAACGGCGGCCGUAACAAUAACGGUCCUAAGG